CUGGUGUCAGCCGCCGCGGUAAUACCAGCACCCCGAGUGGUCGGGACGAUUAUUGGGCCUAAAGCAUCCGUAGCCGGUCCUACAAGUCUUCCGUUAAAUCCAGCUGCUUAACAGAUGGGCCGCGGGAGAUACUACAGGGCUAGGAGGCGGGAGAGGCAAGCGGUACUCUAUGGGUAGGGGUAAAAUCCGCUGAUCCAUAGAAGACCACCAGUGGCGAAGGCGGCUUGCCAGAACGCGCUCGACGGUGAGGGAUGAAAGCUGGGGGAGCAAACCGGAUUAGAUACCCGGGUAGUCCCAGCUGUAAACGAUGCAGACUCGGUGAUGGGCUGGCCUCGCGCCAACCCAGUGCCGCAGGGAAGCCGUUAAGUCUGCCGCCUGGGGAGUACGGUCGCAAGACUGAAACUUAAAG
RNAcentral lists this ribosomal RNA (409 nucleotides) under uncultured Nitrososphaerota archaeon. Its description in RNAcentral is "bacterial SSU rRNA". It matches the Rfam family "Archaeal small subunit ribosomal RNA", at positions 452 to 861 of the family's 1478-position model. The record is from RNAcentral. Lineage: Archaea; Thermoproteati; Nitrososphaerota.